Molecule: ribosomal RNA, 433 nt
Filed under: uncultured bacterium
Lineage: Bacteria
Description: bacterial SSU rRNA
Rfam family: Bacterial small subunit ribosomal RNA
Source: RNAcentral
UGAGGAAUAUUGGUCAAUGGGCUGAGGCCUGAACCAGCCAAGUCGCGUGAGGGAAGACGGUCCUAUGGAUUGUAAACCUCUUUUGUCGGGGAGCAACGACGUCACGAGUGACGGAAGUGAGAGUACCCCGAAGAAAAAGCAUCGGCUAACUCCGUGCCAGCAGCCGCGGUAAUACGGAGGAUGCGAGCGUUAUCCGGAUUUAUUGGGUUUAAAGGGUGCGUAGGCGGACUGUUAAGUCAGCGGUAAAAAUUCGGGGCCCAACCCCGUCAUGCCGUUGAAACUGGCGGACUAGAGUGGGCGAGAAGUAUGCGGAAUGCGAGGUGUAGCGGUGAAAUGCAUAGAUAUCACGCAGAACUCCGAUUGCGAAGGCAGCAUACCGGCGCCCAACUGACGCUGAGGCACGAAAGCGUGGGAUCGAACAGGAUUAGAUACC